RNAcentral lists this ribosomal RNA (747 nucleotides) under uncultured fungus. RNAcentral describes it as "eukaryotic LSU rRNA". The stretch from base 1 to 241 matches the Rfam family "Eukaryotic small subunit ribosomal RNA", at positions 1593 to 1831 of the family's 1831-position model. The record is from RNAcentral. Lineage: Eukaryota; Fungi.
UUGCUCUUCAACGAGGAAUCUCUAGUAAGCGCAAGUCAUCAGCUUGCGUUGAUUACGUCCCUGCCCUUUGUACACACCGCCCGUCGCUACUACCGAUUGAAUGGCUCAGUGAGGCUUCCGGACUGGCCCAGGGAGGUCGGCAACGACCACCCAGGGCCGGAAAGCUAUCCAAACUCGGUCAUUUAGAGGAAGUAAAAGUCGUAACAAGGUCUCCGUUGGUGAACCAGCGGAGGGAUCAUUACAGAGUUGCAAAACUCCCAACCCUUUGUGAACGAACCAGUCAGUUGCCUCGGCGGGGAGCCCUUCAGGGGGCAGCCCGCCGGAGGACCACUAAACUCUUGUAUUUUUGGCCUCUCUGAGUGAUUACACAAUGAAUCAAAACUUUCAACAACGGAUCUCUUGGUUCUGGCAUCGAUGAAGAACGCAGCGAAAUGCGAUACGUAAUGUGAAUUGCAGAAUUCAGUGAAUCAUCGAAUCUUUGAACGCACAUUGCGCCCGCCAGCACUCUGGCGGGCAUGCCUGUUCGAGCGUCAUUUCAACCAUCAAGCCCCAGGCUUGCGUUGGAGCACUGCGGCUGCCGCAGCCUCCUAAAAGCAGUGGCGGGCUCGCUAUCAUACCGAGUGCAGUAGAUUACUCUUCGCUCAGGGCGUGUGGCGGGUUCCAGCCGUGAAAACCCCUACUUCUUNAGGUUGACCUCGGAUCAGGUAGGAAUACCCGCUGAACUUAAGCAUAUCAAUAAGCGGAGGA